Molecule: non-coding RNA, 218 nt
Organism: Chelonoidis abingdonii (Abingdon island giant tortoise)
Lineage: Eukaryota; Metazoa; Chordata; Testudines; Testudinidae
Source: RefSeq, a predicted model, not a curated record
CAACCUGUGGGGUACCUGAAGUAUUAAGCACAACUAUAGUUAAAAUGGUUUUUACCUUGGCCUGGUGAUGAAAUGCAAUUUAAAGUUACUGGUUCCACGCUAAACAGAUCACACUGCAAUAAACACAGGCACCAUUAUUUACUAAGACAGCAUGGGCAAAGAAUAGCAUGAUAUAAUAUAUAGUUUCAGAGUUAAAGACAACAAGUCUUACCUCUUUU